CCUACGGGUGGCAGCAGUGAGGAAUAUUGGUCAAUGGACGAGAGUCUGAACCAGCCAAGCCGCGUGAAGGAUGACUGCUCUAUGGGCUGUAAACUUCUUUUAUAUGGGAAUAAAACAGGGUAUGCUUACCCUCUUGUAUGUACCAUAUGAAUAAGGACCGGCUAACUCCGUGCCAGCAGCCGCGGUAAUACGGAGGAUCCGAGCGUUAUCCGGAUUUAUUGGGUUUAAAGGGAGCGUAGGUGGAUUGUUAAGUCAGUUGUGAAAGUGUGCGGCUCAACCGUAAAAUUGCAGUUGAAACUGGCAGUCUUGAGUGCAGUAGAGGUAGGCGGAAUUCGUGGUGUAGCGGUGAAAUGCUUAGAUAUCACGAAGAACUCCGAUUGCGAAGGCAGCUCACUGGACUGCAACUGACACUGAGGCUCGAAAGUGUGGGUAGCAAACAGGAUUAGAUACCCGUGUAGUC
Molecule: ribosomal RNA, 460 nt
Filed under: uncultured bacterium
Lineage: Bacteria
Description: partial 16S ribosomal RNA
Rfam family: Bacterial small subunit ribosomal RNA
Source: RNAcentral